This is a long non-coding RNA of Lingula anatina, 346 nucleotides long. The record is from RefSeq and is a predicted model, not a curated record. NCBI's taxonomy places the organism in Eukaryota, Metazoa, Brachiopoda, Lingulata, Lingulida, Lingulidae.
AUGAAGUCACGCUAGGCGAAUAUAUGAGCUUUUUAAUUCAAGCUGAUUAUGGUCUAAAACCAAAGUGGAUCCGUGCAUUCUUUGAACUGGAUGAUUUCAAUGACGAUGGUGUUUUGACUACUGUCGAUGUAGAACUUUUAGACACGCUAGAUACCGAUGGUGAUGGGAUCGUAAGCAAGGAGGAAUGUAUUGAAGCAUGUGCAAAGAUUUUGAAAGAGUUUGACCCCAAGCUGGAGUAAAAAGCUACCCCCAAUCUUUAUCAUAAAUGUUGGCGUUGGUUAAAGGAUGAAACAUGUGAAAGACAUUUCAUUUUGGUGAUUUUAAAAUUUUGUGUGAUACUUCUGUG